ACAUGCAAGUCGAGCGGUAACAGACAUAAAGAUUCAGCUUGCUGAAUCCGGUGCUGACGAGCGGCGAACGGGUGAGUAACGCGUAGGAAUCUACCCAGUAGCGGGGGAUAGCCCGAGGAAACUCGGAUUAAUACCGCAUACGCCCUGAGGGGGAAAGGGGGCAGUUUACUGCUCUCACUAUUGGAUGAGCCUGCGUAAGAUUAGCUUGUUGGUGGGGUAAUGGCCUACCAAGGCGACGAUCUUUAGCUGGUCUGAGAGGACGAUCAGCCACAUUGGGACUGAGACACGGCCCAGACAUCUACGGAUGGCAGCAGUUAAGAAUAUUGGACAAUGGGGGCAACCCUGAUCCAGGUAUACCGCGUGUGUGAAGAAGGCCCUAGGGUUGUAAAGCACUUUAAUCAGAGAAGAAGCAUUUUAAGUUAAUACCUUAAUAUGUUGACGUUACCUGAAGAAUAAGGACCGGCUAACUCCGUGCCAGCAGCCGCGGUAAUACGGAGGGUCCAAGCGUUAAUCGGAAUUACUGGGCGUAAAGCGCGCGUAGGCGGUUUAGCAAGUUGUAUGUGAAAGCCCUGGGCUCAACCUAGGAACUGCAUCCAAAACUACUAAGCUAGAGUACGAGAGAGGAGAGUAGAAUUUCUGGUGUAGCGGUGAAAUGCGUAGAUAUCAGAAGGAAUACCAAUGGCGAAGGCAGCUCUCUGGCUCGUCACUGACGCUGAGGUGCGAAAGCGUGGGUAGCAAACAGGAUUAGAUACCCUGGUAGUCCACGCCGUAAACGAUGAGAACUAGCCGUUGGGCAGAUUUAACUGUUCAGUGGCACAGCUAACGCAUUAAGUUCUCCGCCUGGGGAGUACGGCCACAAGGCUAAACUCAAAUGAAUUGACGGGGGCCCGCACAGUGGUGAGCAUGUGUUUAAUUCGAUGCAACGCGAAGACCUUACCAACCCUUGAAUCUAGCGAAGUUCACAGAGAUGAGAUGUGCCUUCGGACGCUAUGACAGUGUGCAUGCUGUCGUCAGCUCGUGUCGUGAGAUGUAUGGUAGUCCAGUACGAGCGCAACCCCUAUCCUUAUUU
RNAcentral lists this ribosomal RNA (1069 nucleotides) under uncultured Gammaproteobacteria bacterium. RNAcentral describes it as "bacterial SSU rRNA". It matches the Rfam family "Bacterial small subunit ribosomal RNA", at positions 53 to 1116 of the family's 1533-position model. The record is from RNAcentral. Lineage: Bacteria; Pseudomonadati; Pseudomonadota; Gammaproteobacteria.